Molecule: small nucleolar RNA, 141 nt
Filed under: Hucho hucho (huchen)
Lineage: Eukaryota; Metazoa; Chordata; Actinopteri; Salmoniformes; Salmonidae
Description: Small nucleolar RNA SNORA5 (ENSHHUG00000041685.1)
Rfam family: Small nucleolar RNA SNORA5
About the family: ACA5 is a member of the H/ACA class of snoRNA that guide the sites of modification of uridines to pseudouridines.
Source: Rfam by way of RNAcentral
UGCAGACUUGUCUCAUUCAGUGCUUCCUCUACAAUGGACCGCACUGGCCAAAAUGGCUGCCACAGUGAACCUGUAGUUCAUGGGCCUCAUUCAUGUAACUUUUCCAUGAAUGUUGGGGAUAAAUUUGUACUACUGACAAUU